RNAcentral lists this long non-coding RNA (656 nucleotides) under Bos indicus x Bos taurus (hybrid cattle). RNAcentral's name for it is "lncRNA (ENSBIXG00000007172.1)". Lineage: Eukaryota; Metazoa; Chordata; Mammalia; Artiodactyla; Bovidae. The record is from RNAcentral.
UUACAGACCUUUUCUUUGAACCAUGUUGGAAGAAAUAAAAAGUUUUUUUCCUUCAAGAAGAUGCAAGCACCUUAAGAGAAAAAUCCAACUAAUUAUCCAGAAAAGGCACAGUGCCCUGCAUUAUUGGGACAUUUUAUGCAAAUAGCAGUUAACCGUGUGAAACUGCUCCAUCGGUCUCUGUAACCCAGGCAAAGGCCCCUUGGAAGGAUUUCCAGCCCACUGCUGAGCCAGAAGCAUGGAUGUAUGAUGUGUCCACUCCCAGGUGAAAAUGAGCAGGCUUUGAACAGGCUGAGCUGUCAGUGGUGGCCCAGUUUAGUGACAAAAGGCCACGUCUGACAGUGCAUUUUACUCCCUGAGGUUUGCUGACACCUGCUGACAAGUGGGAGGAUAACAGCGAAUAAAGAAGUUUCGUAAAAGAGGCUGUCGUGCUGCUGUGCAAAGAGAAGCCAAGAAUAUCUCUGGACUUCCCUGGUGGCUCAGACAGUAAAGAAUCUGUCCGCAACGAGGGAGACCUGGUUUCGAUCCCUGGGAUGGGAAGAUCUUCUGGAGGAGGAAACGGCUACCCACUCCGGUAUUUUUGCCUGGAGAAUUCCAUGGACAGAGGAGCCUGGGAAGGCUACAGUCUGUGGGGCCACAAAGAGUCAGACACAACUGAG